UUUUUUUUUUUUUUUUUUUUGUCUCCUCGUUUUUUUCUUUGUUUUUCUUUUAUAAAAGGUUGGACUGACAUUGAAUUGUUCUUGAUUUCUUGUGUAUCAGUUGCUGCACUGCUUUUUUCUGUUCAUUGUUUAAUCUGAUUUUUUUCUUAACAGAUUAUCAAUAUCCUCCGCUGGCUGAAUAAUCAUCAACCUCUAAUCAUGGUAUGCGUGAACCCAUGUUGUUUGUAUGUGUUUAUUCUAUAGUCAAACAAUGGGUUCUCAUUGGAUCGGUAAUCUAGUAUCUUUAUUCACUUCUGAGAAGUCAUUAUCUGGCAUUGAUCAAUUGAGCUGCAAUGAUUAUGCAUUCGUCACUUGUGAAUGGGAGAGACUUAGAAGGAAGGAUAUUUAAUUCACGAAAUUGUGAUUUUCAAUUGGUAGUAUAGCAGGAAGUUUCUCUUUAUCGUGGUCAAUCAAAACCUUAAUGCCCAUUGGGGAAGGUGCUCGUGAUGUCUAUUGACUUUUAGCUGUCUGUACUGAUGUUUUCUUUGACAACAGUUCACUGUUUGGUUGAACUGAAACAUCAUCGAGUUGGAUUAGCAUGAUGCUAAUAUUGUGGAUGUACAUAUUUUACUGCACAAAUUGACGGUUUUGAUUGCUUAGCUGCUCAGUAGUUGCAAUUGAUGUUUGUUCUCAUGGCUGCAGAAUUCUGAUCAUAAUCAUGGUGACAGUUCAGCCUUUCAACAGCAUUACCGUUGUUACCCAGUUUCUUUCAUUGAAAAGGUCCAAUGUUAUCUCUGCUAUUUUGCUCAUUAAAGUACUUGUACAAAUGAGAAUUAUGAGUUUUUUGGCCGAAGGAAAGUUUCCAGUUUCCACAAGUUUAGUAGUAGUAUUGGUUGUGUGAUGCCUUAGAGGCCACGAUUGAUUGAGGUGAUGCUUGUGAGCCUAAUGAAGCUGCUUCAUUAGGCAUGGAGCACUUGAUUUCUUUCCUUAUCCUGAGUGUUUUAGUCUUUUCUGCAGCUCUAAAUGUUGGGUUGUGUGGUUUACUUCUUUUACUUUGAUCUUUUGCAGUCCCAUCUGGAAAAGGGUGAUAAAAGUAUGUUCGUGUCCCUAAAAAAUGUCUAGAACUGUAAAUUUUCAUUUUGUGUUUUUGAAUUUUAUUUCCCUGACACUGAUAUACAAGUUUUCCAUCCCUUCAGUUAUAAUGCCUCCUUCAGCUCUUGAUCGUCUUGGUAUGUCAAAUUACUCUUUCCUAAUACGUCUUCUCUCCUGUGCAUUCUUGUGCCAGUUAUUUCUUUAAUUUGCUUUUGGUCAAAAUGCCUCCAUCAAUGACUGAAAAAUCGUUUGUUGCCUUUUCAUUCUUACUGCAGCUUACCUACAGAUUGAAUAUCCUAUGUUAUUUGAACUGAGUAACCCCUCUGCUGGUAGAGUUUCUCACUGCGGGGUGCUAGAAUUCGUUGCAGAUGAAGGCCUUGUAUACAUACCUUAUUGGGUAUUAGCUUUGAUGUAUUGAACUUCUUCAGGUUUAAGCUGACUUUCUUUUUUCCUUCUGAAUAUUAUUUUGGCUACCUAUAAUUGUAGAUGAUGGAAAACAUGCUUCUGCAAGAGGGGGACAUUGUGCACAUCAAGAAUGCCAGUUUGUCUAAGGGAACAUAUGUGAAGUUGCAGCCUCACACCACAGACUUCUUAGGUGUAUCCAAUCCAAAAGCAAUGUUAGCCUUACUCCUUUCCUGCUCAGUUUGGCCUGUCAUUUUUUAAAGUUGAUAUGGGAUUUAUUAAAGUCUGUCUUUUGUUUGAAGCUUGGAGACAACUUUAAGGAACUACUCUUGUUUAACAACUGGUGAUACCAUCAUGGUUGCGUAUAACAAUAAGAAGUUUUACAUCGACAUAGUAGAAACAAAGCCCUCCGCAGCAAUUAGCAUUAUUGAAACUGACUGUGAAGUUGAUUUUGCCCCUCCUUUGGAUUAUAAAGAACCGGAAAAGCCAGAAAAGCCUUCCCUGUCUAACAAGGUGCCGCCAGAAGGUCUAUGUCUGAUUGAGUUAAUUUUCUGAGCAUAGAAUUUACUUUUUCCCAUGAUAUUGGAAGUUAUGUUUUCUGACAAAUGUUGAAAAAUGCAUCCAUUAGUGGAUGAAGAGCCAGCCAAGAAAAUACCGAAGUUCAACCCAUUUAGUGGUUCAUCAAGACGCUUGGAUGGAAGACCUGCAUUGCAGUCACCUCCAUCAACUUUCUCUCCUGUGCCCAAACAGCAGCAUAAAGAGGAUACUGGCGGGACAAAUGUUCUAACUUCAUCUGCUUCUACCUCACGCCAGUUUUCGGGGAAACUUGUUUUUGGUUCAAAUGUGGAAAAUUCUUCAAGUGGAAAACAAAAAGUAAAUUUCAUCUGUCUAACUUAUGUACUUUUCUUUAUUCUAUGAUGUAUGAAAAAGUAUUUCUUUCAAUCUAACUGAAUACAGGAAGUCUGCCUUGCAUGUAAUUGAAUAUUUCAUCUGAUUAUAUUGGCUUGACAUUGUUAUUACUAUAGGCUGCCUCAAAGGAGAACAAUGAAGAUUCUGUUCCGAAGGCUGAAGCAAAAUUCCAAGCAUUCACAGGGAAGAAGUAUUCACUGAAAGACUAAAUCUAGUUCCUCCAUUUGCUCCUUUGUUUUAUGAAUCUCUACUUAUUUUAGUUAUUUUCUGGAGUGAGGCAUUCCUUGGAUUCUGAAAAUCCUCUCUCGAUGCAAGUAGAGUUUCUUGAUAUUUUGGAUAAGCUGUAAAUUCAAUUGACUUGUACAUAAACCACGACUCUCUACUACUAUUGCAGCUCCAUAAAAUCCCAAAGGUUAGAAAGUACGAUAAUUCAAGUUGUGGAGCACAUAAUCUUCCUUUAUUGAACUUCUUCACCUCAUCUUCUCUUCCCUUCUCCCUACCGUGCAAGUGUGGACUGCCAAAACACAGGCAGCUGAAAGAAUUCAUGUUACAGUCAUCUUGUGUGUUGAAAUAAAUGUUCAAAACUACUUGAUAUGCAGGGGAUAGGAUAGGCUCGGGAACAUCAGGCACAGAAGGAUCUACAAACUUGCUUAUACAUUCAUCAGUGUUGCGCAUGCGAUCAAAUUAAGAAUUUUCUUUCGUAAUCCUUACCCCUAUAGAUUAUGGAAUUUCAAUUACUAUCUAUAUAUACUUGCUAGCGGAAAAUUUGCAGCCUGGAAAUAUCUUUGCGAAGCAACGGAAAUGAAACUACGUAGAACCGAGAGUUAAUAACAUCGUAUUUCUGGUUUGUUUGAUCAUGAGUUAACAAGAGGCACCAUUUGGUUAUUUGAAGCGGUCGGAAGAUGUCUUCCUCAGUAUCGAAAGGUACUUAGCAUUAGGAAUCAGUGUUUGACAAAUGUUGGUGCGAAAUUAUCUGUCAAAUAUCUAUCCACCACAAUCCAGGCAGAUUUGCCGGAGAAUGCUGUGAAAAACAAGAACUGACGAUAACUUGACCGCUGCUAUGCUUGUAGUUUACAUCAGAUUGAUCAAAGAUAUCAGCCUUCAUUAAGGGGUCAUGUUUGCUAUUUUCUUAAUUUCUUCACUUUUUUGACUUCCUUUCUACGAUUGAAACAGAGAUUAAGUAGUUUAUAACUAACCCUGACAAAAUUCAAUCGUGUUGACCAUUCUAUACUGAACCCAGAACUAAGCACAAUGAGCUGUCUACCAAUUAGUACUACUAAGACGGGAUAUGCUCUGUUACCCUGGGCAGCUGGCCGGCUUCGAGCUCUACUUGUAUUUUGCUGAUGCUGUAUAGUGUAGAGUCCUUUCCAUUUGUUCAGUCUAUGCUGCACAUUGACUCUGCACUUGGUCCAGGGAGUUGCUAUUAUGUGAGGUCAGAAAGGUUAUGGUGGACAGCAGAAAAUAUCGAGGAGAAGGCAAUGAUACAGGAGGAAAUCCGGACAUUUGUCUAUUUCACAGUGAUUGUAAUUCACCUAAUUCAAGAGUAUGAAAGUUAUAUCUGAACAAAACCAGAGUUUUCUAUUCAUAGGGGAAACUCGUGCGAGGAAAGACCAAAUCCCUGAAUGUAACUCAAUCCCUCGACGACAUGCACUAAUCCAAUGGUUAUUUUAAUUCUAGAAAUCCAAACAACUGUUGAUGAUUAAGUAAAUAGUGGGAUGGCUGAUGUAUGUUGAUUUAUACAACGUAUGCAUAAUACAGUAAUGUCUUGUUCCUAAUUCAAGAAAUCAUACUAGUACGUAAUAUUUCAAGAGACGGACAUUGCUAUUUUUACACCGUUUUAUGUCUCGAACUCGAGUUCUAACUUCUGCGGAAACGUUACAAAAUCAAGAGUCGGUACCUACUGAGACAAUUAGUCAAAUAAGGCCACCAGAGGGAAAUAGGUGCAUUUUUGAGAGCCAAGCCUCCUUAUUUCCUCCGUAGAGCAUAACGUGAAGCCGCACGAGCCGUUGAUAACUAAUAAGUACUAUCUUUUUAUGGAGACAGGGAGUUGAUCAAGAGCCGAAUCAGAAGUAGUUUAACAGUCCAACAUUCCAAAAUUCUAGCCUAGUGGGUGCACCCAAUCCUUCUUGUGGUUGGACUAAGUUGCCUGAUAGUAUUAUCUUUCAGGGCUCUGCUGACUCCCAACCUAAUCUACCCAAUGAACCCAACACCUUUUUCCUUCUCACCCUUAAAAUAUUGUCCAUCAAGUUUUCGCUUUCAUUUCGUUUCCCUCUUCGAUGUACUAUAAAUAGCUCUUUCGUCAUCAGUCUAAUCAAGCAACAUUACAAAGUUUUCACACUUCCUUUCUCGUUAAGCCAAGAAAGGUCAUUACAGCAGCAAUGCAGGGUCAAAGUAGUGGUGUGAUGAAGCCAUGGUCCAAUGCCCUAUUCCUAAUCAUUCUAGCCUUACUUGGCUUUGCAAUUUCAUUUGCAAAUGCAGAAACUCUACCAUGACUUUGUUGUACGUCUUUGCCUUCUACAUUUUAGUUUCUAGUUUUACUUUUCUCCUUCAAGCCUUUCGUCUUCUGUUUUUUAAAGAGAAGAAAAAAAAAAAUUUUUUUCCUAUCAUAAUUCAUGCAUUGGUGAAACAGGUUGAAGCAAAGCCAGUGAAGAGGCUGUGCAGAACUCAUAACAUAAUUACAGUGAAUAAGAAAUUCCCAGGACCAACUCUGACCGUACGAAAUGGAGAUACUCUCGUUAUCAAAGCCCUAAAUAGAGCUCGUUACAAUGUCACUCUCCACUGGUAAUUUUCUUUUGAAUAAACCACUGUAAAAUACUGAUACCAAAAUCCUCGAUAACGUUGCAGUACUUUGAUACAGAAACUGGAAAACAAAUACUAGUAGGAGUAUAACAAUUAACAAUACUUCUAUUUUAUAUCUGUUGUAUUCUUCAUUAGGCAUGGGAUUCGCCAAAUGCGAACGCCGUGGGCAGAUGGUCCAGAAUAUGUUACCCAGUGCCCAAUCCAGCCAGGAGCAACUUACACAUACCGAUUCACCAUUGAAGAUCAAGAGGGCACGUUGUGGUGGCACGCUCACAGCAAAUGGCUCAGAGCUACUGUCUAUGGAGCCCUUGUGAUCCUUCCUAAACUGGGAUCCCCAUAUCCUUUUCCCAAGCCCAGGCAUGAAGUCCCUAUUAUUCUUGGUAAUUCUUUCAGUUCCCUCUGUAAGUUGAUAGUCUGUGUUGUUUUCACCAAGUUUAAUUAACGUAAAAUGGUAAAAUUCGACAGGAGAAUGGUGGGACAGAGACAUCAUCAGUGUUUUAAGACAAGCUCUUUUCACUGGGGCUGCUCCAAACGUUUCUGAUGCUUAUACCAUCAAUGGUCAACCGGUGACCUAUAUAGAUGCUCCAGUAAAGGUUGCUACUUCUUCGUACCAAGAAUCCGCCUUUUGUAGAAAAGAAAGCUGAGCACUUGAAUAAAUAAAUGCCUUAACCUCAAAUUAUAUGAUACAGGUACUUUCAAAGUCUCGGUGAACUCUGGGGAUAGAGUUCUUCUCAGAGUCAUCAAUGCUGCACUCAAUCAACAACUCUUCUUCACCAUUGCCAACCACCAGCUAACGGUUGUCGGAGCCGAUGCAAUUUACCACAAGCCUUUUGCAACCAGAGUCAUCAUGCUAGGGCCAGGGCAGACGACGGAUGUCCUUCUUACCGCCAAUCAACGGCAGCAAGGUACUACAUGGCUGCGCGUGCUUAUGCAUCAGCACGAGGUGCCCCGUUUGACAACACCACCACCACUGCUAUUCUUGAAUACAACACAGCGAGAGGAGGAUCGUCCUCCACCUCAAGACCUCUGUUGCCUCGACUCCCAGCCUUCAACGAUACGGCCACUGCGACUGCAUUUGAAAACGGAUUAAGGAGCAUCCCUUCCGAGGCUGCUAAAGUUCCCACAAAGAUUGAUCACAGCCUAUUUUUCACUGUGGGAUUAGGCUUUGUAAACUGCAAUCCUGGACCUAGAUGCCAAGGACCAAACAAUACAAGAUUCGCAGCCAGCAUGAACAAUGUAUCGUUCGUGCUCCCUAGGAGGACUUCCUUACUCCAAGCCUAUUAUAACAACAUACCUGGAAUCUUCACCACCGACUUCCCUCCGGUUCCACCAUUGCAAUUCAAUUACACAGGCAAUGUACCGCGCUCACUGUGGCAACCUCGGUUUGGUACAAAGCUGUACAAGCUGAAAUAUGGUUCUACCGUACAAAUUGUGUUACAAGAUACUGGCAUAUUCUCGACGGAGGACCACCCUAUUCAUCUUCAUGGGUACCAUUUUUUUGUCGUGGGACAGGGCUUUGGAAACUUCAAUCCUCGGAAGGAUCCUGCAAGAUUUAACUUAGUUGAUCCCCCUGCCAGGAAUACAAUUGAUGUCCCAGUGGGUGGAUGGGCAGUGAUUCGUUUUGUGGCUGAUAAUCCAGGUAGUAUCUUCUUUCUUAACAUGUUUUGCACAAAAGGAUCAAUUUCUCAUUACGUAUUUGACUGAGAGAAGUAUCUUCAAUUUGAAUUAAAAAAAAAAAAAAAAAACAGGUGUUUGGCUAUUUCACUGUCACAUAGAUGCCCAUUUGACUUGGGGAUUGGCUAUGUCAUUCCUGGUUGAAAAUGGAAUAGGAGAAUUGCAGACCGUAGAGCCGCCUCCAGCUGAUCUUCCCCGAUGCUAGAUCCUGCAUGUAAUCUUCAGACAAAUGCUGAAGAUGGAAUCAUAUCUACAAGUGGAACACUUGGAAUUCUCAGAGAAACCCUUUAAUUUAUCUUAUCUUAACAUGCUUUUGGUCACCAGCAUUAGCUGUAUUUUCUCUCUUUUUUCUUUUUCAGUUUAUGCGAGUCAGAUUCGUAACAGCAAAAUCCAGAUUCUUUUUUCUUUGCUUAAUUCGGCAGAGAGUCCGGGAGUCUUGAUUCCAUUAUUUGUAUGCCCCAAAGAAAGAAGCGUUUAUUUGUAAUUUGUAACCCUGUCUUCUAUCAGUUGAAAGUGAUGAAAAAAAACUGGAAUGUCUUUUAUGCUUUAUAUAUUUAUUAAUUAUUACUAUUUUAUUUAAUUAUUUAUUUAGAUCUCCAAUUUCGCAAGGUUGGAGUAAUGGCCUUCGAGGAUGCCGGACACGUAUAUAUGUAUAGGCUUCUCAUCUGUGACCUUCAGUUCAGGCUUUAAGCAACAAAUGCUUCCUUUUUGCAAUUGUUUGAGUAUAUUUGCACAGGAGGUUGUUUGGGAUAAUUUUUCUGAUGUAAUAUAUGCGAGAUAAAAAAAAUGAUUAAAAUAUAUGUUUAUAAUGCAAACAGAUUUUGUAUAAAUAAUUUGCUAUCUAAACACAUUCGAUAAAACUUUUCAUUUAUGUGCCCAGAAAGUUAUUCAAUAGAGCUUUUCAAUCAUGUGGCUAAAAAGGCUUUAGUCUAAAAACUUAAGUUGAGACUUCAAAGUUAGAAGUUCUGAAUUUUAAUCCCACUUCUUAAAGCCCGAUAUCCCACCCUUCUCCUCCUAUAGGGGAGGGAAAAAAAAAAAAACUUUUCAAUCAUGUGCCGUAAAAUUGAAGUGCAGCAUGACCUUUUCCUCUAUAUUCCAUCCCAAGGGGGAAAAAAAAACUUGCACAAAGAGUAAAGCAACUGUAACAGGCUUUGAGAACUAACCGUAAAAAAAAUAAAUAAAAGCUAUAAAGAAGAUUUCAGAAUGUCAAUUAUAAGUUACAUAUUAACUGUGUGUCAGAUUUAGCCCUCUUCUUGGUUUCUUAAAUUUUCUAGAAAAACGAAUCAACUCUUACGCGGUAGAAUGUUUGAUGAAGAGAACACGUUUAUUGUUUAACAAGAAAUAAAAGUGAAAAUAAUGUUGGGUUUUUCUAAUCGGUGUUUUUAGGACACAACCAAUGUUCACUAGUUAACCUCGGAGCAAUACAACAUCUACUAAUCGGAGUUCCUGAUUGAAUGCUGAAGGAGAACCACGGGAUGCCCUUCAUAAGUUCACCUGAAAGAGAGGCAACCCUGUAGGCCAGUUUUCUACUUGUCAUCCAAGGACUCAGGAUCGGCCGGCUGUCGUUAACAUGAACUUCAAAAAUUAGCUCUGGGCAGCUAUCUUCCCAUGUCUAUAUUAAGUAAUAUAAUCCAAAUUGGUAAACAUCAUUUACAGGACAUCUAUUCUCAGCUCUCAAGCAGAAGGCAACAGCAUAGCCAACUCAACCACAAUAUUUCGUGUAAAAAGUUCAAGGUGUGUUGAAAAGUUAUCUUCUUUCCGCCCAGGGAACAAAAGCCAUUGGCUCUAGAGGCUUAACUUUUGCCAGAGGCCAUCGAACCAGAGUAUGAUAACAUGCACACUAAUCAAAGAUCCAAUAAGUUGAUAGAUACCCUGAAAAGUUCACGGCUUGCUCAGAACUUUGAUUUAAACUGAGGAAGAAAAAAGCAAUUCACUUUCUGCUUGAUGUUAAAGAACGAAAUUAGAGCGAGAGAGAAUUGGGUUCUUUUGACACAAAUUAUAACAAAUCAGAAAGCAGGGGGAAGGGGAGGUGAUCAUUAACUCCCUCCAGCUUAGCUCUUUCAAUUGGAAACAAACUUCAAAAGCCACUUCAUUUGUUUACAGCUAUAUUGCUCUAUUUUUUUUCUUUCUUUUCUUCCUCCUUCCUAAAUUAUUUUUCCAAGUGUAAGGUAAACCAUGUGCAGAACUACGUACCCCUGUAAUCCUUCAGAGUGUAUAGGAUAAUACUUCUGAAAUCCUUUCCUUGGAUGGAAAAAACUUGAUUGCUUAGGUGCCAAGAUCCGUUUUCCUACCUCAUCAGAAGAGGUCUCAAGACCACAUUCAUUGCAGAAAGACUCAACGUCCGAUUCCUAGUUGAGACAUACAGGAUAAUCAAACAUUCUGAAACAAAUUCUGCAAAAAGCUGCGUGUAACAACAAUAUUCACCUGCAACAAAAGGAGAUUUGAUAGGUCCGCCAGCGGAAAAGGUUGCAGCUUGUAUCCUGCCUGAUUUAAACAGCUUACGCUAGUGCCCGAACCUUUAGUAGGGACAAACUAUUUGUGUUCAGGGAAAAAAGAAGAAGGAAAAGAGGGAAAAUUACAGAGCACCAAGAAUAAACCACUAACCAAGACCACUUCACAGAUUCAAGUGAACUUGUAUGCUUUGGACUAUGAGCAAGCUGCAUUGUCAAUUAUGUAUACAGAAACUAGAUGAUUACCCUAAUUCAACAGCUUUUUGCACCGUACAAGAAAACCUCCCCAUACAAAGAAAGCAAAAAUACAAAUCUGAUGUUUCUGUAAUCACUUCUUUUUAACAACUUUAUAAGAUCAAACAAGAAGAAAGACUGAAGUUGUGUGAAAUUCUCUCAACACAAAGUCCUGCGCUAUUUAACAGAGAUAAUUUUGUGCAAUGAAAUGAUCCGGAUUCCCCAUUGGUUUCCAAAAAGUAAAGAAGGCGAAAUCCAAAUAGAAAAAAAUGUUAGAAAAAGAGAGAUAUCUACUCAUUUUGAAGACAAAAAAGAAUCUAGAUAAACCUCAUUGAUGUAAGGCUCAACAAUACAGCACUGGAGACAGGAUGCUUCGCUCUUCAUCAUAUACAUAAACCUCUUGUAAUUGCCCAAGCGAAAGUAUCUACAUGAGGGUAGAAAAUUAAAUAAGAUCCAACUGGUCAUCUACUUACUAAAGUAAUCACCUCACUCUUACCCUCAUUUUUGCUUUACUCUGCCCAAUAUUCUUUCACCACCUUCCAUAUGUAUCUAAUAGUAAAAGCAGAAAAGUCUAUCAACUCUACCUUACCUCAAAAGAUUCCUGGCAAAGCACAUCUGCUUUGAUUUCAUAAUUGCAGAGGGGAGAUUGCGGAACCACAAGGACAAGGGCUCACCCUGCUGGUAUAAAAAAAAAAUCUUUAUAUUCAAUACCAGAUCGAGAGGAAUUAACAUAAACCCCUUAACAGCAGCAAUUUUAGGAGAUAAAGCAAUUACUUUGCUGUCGGGAUGAAUUUGGAGAAGAACAUAAAAUGAACAGAAUUCAGGCUCAUUGUCAUAAAUAGAAUGUGAUAUCCGAUUGGUUUCGUAAAGAUUAAACAGUGUCAUCAACGACUUUGUUAGCUGCUCCAAGUUGAGGUAAAGCAGAGAAGAAGCAUUCGGACUGCUGCUAGAUCUAUGCAGCUUCUGAUGGGAUAUAAUAUGAAAUUUAACCUGUAUGACAAAUGACAUUAGAAAUUCAUGCUAUCACAAUGACACCAAUCAGCAAAAAACUUGUAAGUAUCGAUCAAUAAGCGUACCAUUCUCUCAUACAUUGUGAUUGCUCUAUUAUUGGAGAUAUUCUGCAUACUUAGAUCUUGCCUUAUGGAUCUUGUUCUAUCAAAGAUAAAGUCAUGAACGACCUCGAAAGGAUGAUCACUUGAAUGAAAUAAGUUGAAGAGGUGGUUCAGAGUUCCUUCCAACACUGAGAGAGGCCGCACAUCAGAAACUUGUAUCUCUCUAGUUGAAAUUGUUCUGCAAAACUAAUAAAAGAUAAAAUUGAAGAAGUUUGUGUUGAGAAUGGAACAUCGAAAUCUUCAAAUGUCAGCCCAGUCAAAUAUCGAAAUAUUCAAAUGACAGCCAAGUGAAUCAAAUCCAAAACACAAAUUAACCUAAUGAGAUGAAACCCUUUCAAGAACCAUUGUUUUUCGACAAAUAGCACUUAAAUUGAAAAGUAAAGAAAAGGCUGAGAUUUUUGAGCUACCAAUAUAAAAUGCAAAUUGAUGUCCUCAGUUGAAAUCUCAAGACAUUUUAAAUGCAUGUUUCCAAGACUAUUAUCUUUCUAUUAUUUUCUUCAUCUUGCUUUGAAAUCUUAGUUUCAGGACCCUAAGAGGAAUAACAAUAGGUAUUACAAGAAUAAAGCAGUAACAACAGCGCUGCUAGAAAGUUGCAGAAUGAUUACCUUUUUAACAGCAAGAUUUGAUGAUGAUUUCCCUGGAUUCCCAUCAAGCCUCUCAAAUGUGGCUAAAUCUCGUAGCCUCUCACGUUGUAACCUCUCCUCAACUGCUUAUACCCCCGCCCCCCCCCCCCCCCCAACAAAAAAAAACACAAAAAAAGCAACAAAAAAAAACUGACAUUUAGCGCAAUUUGAUUCAAGAACUACAAGGGGAAGAAAGGAAGGGAGAAACCAAAGAAAAGUAAUAUUAACAAAGUAGUUAACCAACCAACCUGGGCACAUAAAAGGGCAAGUUCCAACUAAGCUGGGAAGAUUAUUUUCUUCAUCAAUAACAUCAGCAGCAUCCUUAAUCCAACUCCUGUUGUCAGAAUUAUCCUUGACAUUCCCAUUAGGAUUGUUAAACGAACUAUCCAUAUGUUGUGAAUUUCUUCUGAUGUUGAGGUUGCAGUUUUGAGGAGGUUGAUAACGGGUGGCGGAUUUAGUGAAAAAGGAAGAACGGGAAGAGGACAAAUUUCUUCUUGUUACUCCCCCUUGCCUGUCGAAAGGGUUGACCACGCUCCGCCAUAUGUGUUGCCCUGCUACACAAACUCUAACCUGCAUUUGAAACUACAUUAAAAGUACUAUCAACUAUCUGAUAAUUCUUUACAAUGAGGAUGUUUAUGCGAAUCUCUUUUGUGUCAGUUGGAUUAAGUUGCCAGCAUGUCACUGUUUCCUCUAAGCUAACUGUAUGGACAUCUUUGCACUGGUUUGCAAGUUAAACAUGUGGCAACAGUUGUGAAGAUCAGAACCACUUUGCAUUACCAAGUCAGUAACUUUAACCAACUUCAGUAUUCUUGACACUAAUGCUUGGAUACAACUUCUUUUAUUGCUUCUACAAUUAUUAUUAUUAUUAUUUGGAUGGACUGCUAGAACCAUAUUACACAGCGCCCAUUAAAAUUUAGCAAAGAUUCUAAAGAGCCCAGCUUUUGCUAGGACACAAAUCAAAAAACAAAUUGAGAAACUAAGGAGAAAAAGAAGAAACAAAAAACUGCCUCAUCAAAUAAGGGAUAAUCUAAGUUUCUAUAUUCCAAAAGGCAAAGGUCAACAUCUGGUUGUUACUACAGCAAUAGUAAAAUCCGAAGCACUAUACUAUCUUCUUACGGAUGCGAAGCAGGGCCGCGGGUGGCCGGUGGGGAACUGAGAUAGGAAACUUGAUUAUAGCUUCGGGCCGGCGCUAUUGCCACAGCAAUUUUUAUCAAAUCCCUUAUUAGGAGCUCCAAGGAAUUAAUGCAGAAGCUGCCCCGUAAAUGUUACAAAGGGUUGAUGAACUCAAUUGACAAAAUCAAUCGCUGGAUGAGCUUCUCUUAUGCGUAUCCCGUAUUCGUGAAAAGCAUCAGAUUGAAGCCCAUUAGAGACGAGAGUGAUGGAACCGAACUGGUAGAAGAAUAAUGCUCCCCGUCUUCAAGCUGGGGCUGGGGUUGAUUGUGGAGUUACUGCAUAAUCAGAGGAAGAUAAAAGGAGCGUGUUGAAGCACAAGUACGGGUAUAAGAUUUUGGUUAAAUUACGCUAAAGCUCCUCUACUUUAUAAACUAGUUCCAUUCUGCUACCUUCAAAGAGUUCAAACUUAAAUCAGCCCAUUUUGACUUUAUAUCACGAUUAAGAGAGUGCCUUUUUUUUUUUUUUCCCUUUUCAAGUGUAAGUGGGUGGAUUUGAACUCGAGAUCUUUUACUUACAUUUCCUUCACCUAAAUCACCUAACCCAUCUCUCUUCCCAAAUGUACUGUUUUCUAUGAGUUAUUAAAACAAUUAUUGGAGUUUGACUAAGAUUUAUGUGAAGAAGGAUUACUAGAUUACAUUCAUGUGAGGGCUUGCUGUGUUUCAGUAAAGGAAUCACGCUUUACUUUGAUGCCCAAUUUGUAAGGCAUUAAAGUUGAGACUUGGCUUCAGACUUAAUGUGUUCGAGUAUCUUAGCAUCUCGGACACCCUUACCAUAUACUAAUCCAAGUGGAGCAUAAUAGCAUGCAGAAAUGUAUAGAUUAGAAGAAUUUGGUCAAUCUGUGAAGUAUAAUGCUGGAAGGCGCAAAUUAUCAAGUCAAAAGGCAUUGUACUUGUGACGAUGACAGAAAAUUCCUGGUUCACAUUUACGCAUCAUAGCUGCUCGACCCAAAGAUGUGUCAAAAAGAAUCAAUAAUCUGAGAUCAUGUUGGGGAGGUCAAAAGCAGUGAUCUUGUUUGCAUCGAUCAUGAUUAGUUCUAGCCAAGGUUGUAGAGCAAGCAUCAGGAAGGACUAACCAAGCAUUAGCAGGACACAUUAGGCAAUUAUCAUUGGCAGAGUAUUCAAGAAACAGCAGUAUUGCAGAAAAGGAAUACAAAGUACAUGACUAGACUUGAAACAGACUCUUUGAUCACAUUACAAGACCCACAUCCACUGAUAAAAGUAUUAACAGGCAUGGUGAGAUCCUAGUCAGAGGGGAAACUAUGGAUCUUGAUGCCCUCAAGAAUUAGAGAUUUAAGCUCUAACUGGAGUUUCAAUUGCAGCUUUUUCAGUGGAGCAAACAUCUGAUGCUCCAAUUGCUUCCCAUAGCUCAGGCAAUGCCUCUCUCAUAUUGUGGAUGCUUUCAAGUGCAUGAUCUACUCCAGUUGUUUGGUGAGAGGAUCCGACCUAUUUUCAUACCAGAGAAAUUUAAACAGCAUAGUCCGUCAAAUUGAGAAUCAUAUGAAGUGCUCCUUGUAAAAUUCAAAACUUCUCUCUUGCUUACCCAAAUGGUAUGGAGCCCUGUACUCUUUGCAGUCUUAAGAUUACGAAUAGAAUCAUCAAAGAACAACUACAGACGAAAGAAGAUACAAAAUCAAACAAUCUAAUGAGAAACUCAUAAACCAAAGUAUAGAUCAUAUUUAGCAUCAAUACGAAUUACAAUAAUCAGAUUUGAAGAGGCUUAUAGUCUUACAGUCUUCUCAGGGUUCAUCCCAGCUAUCUUAAAAGCCUUCUCAAAGGCCUCCUCAAAUGGUUUGCAGAUAACUGGAGUCUUUGGGAUUUCUGAAACUGCAUAGACAGUACAAGGGACUGUUGACAUAAUUCCAAUUUACGACUCUUAAGGAUGUCGGUUUAAUAUCUAAAACUCACCAUCAUCAUCAUUUGGUUCACUGCUAUUGUGAGUAGGAUUUAAAGUCUCAAAACAAAUGACUCCGUCAAAGCAGUCCUCUAAUCCAAGUCUACUAACUACCUGAGCGACAUGGGCUUCAUUUCCAUUUGAGAAUAUCUAUUUUGCAAUCAUCAAUGAAGCAUUGUCAGAGGAGAGAGGGCACUGACGCUUAGAAAUGCUGCAUGAUUUAAGUUUGCAGGAGAAACUUACCACUUUGCGAAUCGGCAAGCUGUGCAGAAGGUUCCUUAAGACUGGAUCAGGCUUUAACAUCUCAUAAGGUAAUCGUCCAUGUACAAAACUGUAAGCCAAGAUCAUGUGAGACGAAAUGCUUCUGAUUCACAACCUAAUAUAAGGAUAAAUAGGAGGUGUAUUUGUACCUAUGAUAGUCAUCAUAGUCAAAGUCGUAACCAAUGGCCUGGACAGGGACAAAACAUAUCAAACCAGAAACAUUAGCCAUAUCAGCACAUAGUACAUUUGAGACUAUUUUGAUCCUAUUCUAAGGUGAAAAUCAUACCCUCAAACCAGCCAUUGUUGUUCCGUAAUCCUUGUAUAGUUGCAAUGCCAUUUCAGUAACAUUGGUCUGAUCUAUGCCAAGCUUUGUGACCAUAUACUCUUGAGAAAGACAUCCACAGAAGAGGCAAAUUACUACAGAGUUUAAGAUGAAUUUGGUGGGCGAGGACCAUACUUGUUAACUAUGCAUAAGAUAUAUAGCAAUGACUCAUGAUGUGUUACCAGCAAUGUUUUUUGUUAUUUCUGCAGAAAUCCCAGAGCUUAGAGGAUAAAGGGUAUCAUCAACAUCUGAAAAUUCAAGUGCAAGCAAGUUUUAAGAUUCCUUAUAACAGCAUUUUAAACAUUUACUACAGGAUUACAUAUACGGAAAGAAGACUUACCAAACAGAACGCAUUCAUAUUUUUGCCCUGAUACUUGCUGGUAGCUAUCUUUUUCCAUUUCGAACCCAAAAAUUUUCAACAAUCUAAUUAAUUCAAAGCAGAAAACAAUCUUAUAAGGUUAAGUUGAAGCACCAGAAAACUAUCCAAAUGACAUUCUCCUUGUGCAUAAAAUAGAAAUCAUGACAAUUGCACAAAUCAAUACACAUAACAAGCAAUUGUAUGGCUACCCCAAUCUCUGCAUCAGUUUCGAAAGGUCUGAAUCCCCUCCCACGGACGAGGGAGAAGAUGAUGGACUUCUAUCUAACAGGAGAAAAGCCACAAUUCAGCAAAUGAAACUUUCAAGUAACAAUAGUGACAGGACAUAACCCAAAACAUAAACCAGGUGUCUGGCACAAUAUUGGAAUUGGACUCCUACUGAGACAACAAGUGAAAACCAAGCAUCAAAAGUCUGAACUGCAAAUAAACUCCAUUAGACACUUUAAUCUCACCAAGAAAUGAACAAAAUAUCUCUCAAUGAAAGAUCCUUAGAAAGGCCAAAACUAUCACGCGCGCAAGUACCAAUAAUUGAACAAAACAUGUCUUAGUGACAGAUGCUUAGAAAGACUAAAAUCUAUCACUCACGCAAGUGUGUUGUUGGUGAGAAAAAAUCAUGCUUUGUAACCGGACUAAUCAUUCAUGGCAUAACCAUAAUACCAGAAGUUUGAAGAAAAGACAAUAAACCUAAACAGAGUACCAGCAUUACACCCAUGAAUCAGUUCCUAGAAAAGACAACUCCUUGCUCGAAUAAUUACAUUUAUCAAUACCCGUACCAAUGCUUCUAACCAUAGCACUUAAAAAAGAACCAUACUAAUAUUACAAUGUACCUACACAAAAUCUAGAGCAACAGUUUCGACUUACACAUAACUCAUACUAUAUUCUUAAAGCAUAAAUCCAAGAUGAACUAAAGCCUCAACGAGCACAAUAUUUUUUAUCAACAACACAAAAAGUUGCAAUCUUUACAAUUUAUACCACGUUAAUGAAAAGCAUCGGCGGUACCAGAUUCAAUGAAAGAGUGACCCACUGAAGCAAUGAAGGCUAAGAACAUUACCAGAUUCAAGCGAGACGAUAGGUUAAGAAACUGCCCGCUGCAAGAGAAAAAAUUAUCAAGACGUAGAAGAAUCGAAAGAAAGAUGAACGAUUACUUAAUGCCAAAGAAUGGAACGGAAGCAGUACAAGGGGAAAUUGAAGAGAGGACUGUUCUUAAAUAGUCCGCGUCGAAGACAUAAAUAGCAGUUAGAAGUUAGAACGUUUUCUUUGCAAUUCAAAUGGGGUUAAUCUCAUGAACCUCCUCAAGGUUCAUCCUAAUAUCACCUGAAGCUCUCAAAGUUUCAAAAAUUUCACUUACCUCCCAUUUUAAUUAAUGUGACUAGAUAUACCAAUUAGAGGCAUUGAAAUGACGAAGUUACCCCGAAUAUUUUCCUACUUUUUUAAGUCGCAAAAGGUUGGAAAAGAGAAAAAAAAAUCCUACAUGCUAAAAUAUCUAAAAACAAAUCUAAGAUAUUUUUCUCCCACUUUGUUGUAAAAAUCUUUACUUUUAAUAUUCGUCUUUGCCACAACUGAUCUCUUAAAAUUUUCAUCAUAAUUUCCCUCUUCAUAACAAAUUUUUUGUGUCUCUUUGCUAUAAAAUUUUUACUUUUAAUUUCUUCCUCGUUGCAACCAAUCUCUUGAAAUAUUUGCCUUUUUAUAAUGUUGACGUAGCUUUAGAAAUUAUCCUUACACACAACAGUAUUAUCUAGUUACUUAUUACAUUUACACUUUCUCAUAUUUUAAGUUUAAUAUUCCAUCUUAUUUGUCUUUUUUCAUACUUCAAAUUUCAUAAAUCAAAUUAUAAGAUAAUAUAAUCUCUCUUCUCCAAUGCAUUUCUUUAAUAGGAUUAAUUACACUUUGCCCCUUGAACGUAGGCCCUUGUAACACUUUGCUCUCUAAAUUCCAAAUAUAUACACUUUAUACCUUGUGGCAAACUUUUUGAUGGGUUAAAAUGAUAUUAUAUUUUUCAUGACCAAAAUAUCCCUGACUAAUUCUUAAGUACACAUAAUAAUUGUAACAUAAUAAAUACCUAUUUAUUUAAUAGUUGCUAAAUGUAUCUAAACACAAUUAUGCUAUACAUUUUGAACUUUUAGUAUUAAAAUGAAUUAAAUAAUUCACAAAAAAAGCCUAAGCAACUCAAUGUAUUUAUUUCAAUGCUGAUGGUAGUACUUAUUUUAAAUGAAAUAAAAUUAAUUAGUGGGUUUGGAAUAAAAAUUAUUUCUUAUAUUUGUUAUUGUAGCACAAUUUAAUGUGUUUUAUAUGAAAUAAAAACGUGAUUAAAAAGUAAAAAUGUAUUGAAAAACAUAUUUGAGAUUUUUUUAGUUUUUUUAAAUGUAGAACUCAAACAAAAUACAAAGCAAUGAUGAAUAUGGCAUAAAACUAAUGAAUAAUACUUUAUUGACUCAUGAAAAUCUUGUAAAAGUUGCAAGCUAAAUGAAAAUUAUUAAAAUCAAUCCGUUUACAAUAUAAAAGAAAAAAAGAUAAGCGAUGGAAAAUUGUGCAGAUGUUUUAAGAAUUUUUAAAUUCUUUUUUCUCCGUAAUACAAUUUUUCAAUUUUUUGGUAUUAUACCAUCUUUUAUUUUUUAAAAUUUUCAAAAUCAUGUGACUUUGUGCUUUUUUCUAAUAAGAUGUUUCAUAUUCCAAUUAAAAGCAUAGUAUUAUUCUAAAACUAUUGUGUAAGGGCAUUAAUAUCAGUUUGUUAAAAUUUUGGAUGGAUAAUUCAUCAUUAACAUUUGACUAAUCAAUGAAGGGGGCAAAGUGCAUAUAUUUAAAGUUAAGGUGGGUAAAGUGUUAUAAUGGUUCAACUUCAGGGAGGCAAACUGUAAUUAACCCUUUUUAAUAUUGCUUUUACACAUAAAAGGUAGCAAUGUUAUACAAAUUAUUAUUUGAGGGGAGCUAUGUGAGAUUUCUAAAAUUUUAGGAGUGUUAGGUGACAUUAGGAUAAAAGUUUGAAGGCGAUAGGAAAAGUCGUUCAUCGAGGGUUUCCAAGACUAGAAAAUGCACACACAUUUUACUAAUACUAAAAUACUAGUUGAAAAUGCUGGUCCGGUUAAGUUGGUUGAAUGCGCUGGUCCAGUCAUCUUUUGACAAGUUGAAAACUAUACACCGCGUAACAGAAAGUCUCGACCAAUGCCGUCAACACAUGCAUGCGAAGAAAGACCAUUCCCCAGUCUCCACGGCUUUAUGCUUUAUUUUAACCGCAAGUCCGCAAGGCCAAUUUUCUAUCCUACUCCAAUUCCGCAUGAUCCUAUUCUAUUCAAACUCAUCCCGUUUGAUUAGUAUCCAAGCUUUCCCAGCUUUUUAUAAGAAUAUAACUAAACUAGAAGAUCUAGAAUACAAUGACAGGAAUAGGAUACUUCCUUCCUAGUUCCCCAAACCAGCCCCACCAACCCCCACCCCCCCCCCCCAAAAAAAAAAAAAAAAACUGGAUGCUUUCACAUUUUGAAGCAUUGCAGAUUAUAUUAGCAAAUUAAUAUACGUGGUCGGUCUUUGGUACAACACCAGUAUAUAUUUUAAGGGCAUUACUUGUAUCCGUAGCAAUGAGUAUUGGAAGAGUCAAGAGCCAAUGAGUGUCUCUACACUCUUGAAUCAUUGAGAAAAAGUUGUGUUUGGAUUGCCUUUUCUAAAAUUUGUUGUAGAAAAAUUACUGUAAUGAUUUGAUGUAUGUAAAAAAAAAUAAUAAUAAAAAAAUGUGAUCACGAAAAAACAAGGCAGCUUGUUUAGAAAUCCAUUCCGAUCAAGUAAAAUAAAGAAAUUCUUGAACGCUUUAGAAGCUUAAAGAAGGUAUAAAAUUCACGCCGCUUCCUGAUUAAAGCCUCUCAAUUUGUUCAUCGGAAAGCGAAAUUGUUUUAAUAGAAGAGACAGAAACACAAACGGAGGAGAAUGAGAUAAUUUAUUCAAUCAAUCAAGACGCUAAAGGUGAAAGGAGAAGAAAAAGAAAAAUAUACGAAACCCGGGAAAGGAAGGGAGGAGGAGGAAUGGGGGGUUGUCUCUAUUCAGGUUUCCGAGCAACUGGACUGGCCACCUGAGUAAACAAGUAGGGGCUUCCUGUCAAAUUCUUUUCUCUACCGUGUUAAGGUGAUUUUUCUAUUCCAGAAAAAGAAAAUGGUAAUUGUGAAACUAACCAAAAUGACCAACUUCUCAAGAACAUACUCAGGUUGCAGAGUGACGUAAAUCAGAAUUGCUCAAGUCCAUGUACAUCAAAUUGUUUCUUUCAUCUUUUCCAGUAUUUUCUUUAAAACCAAACUUCAACAACUAUGAUAUAACAAUACCCACAUGAGAUGCGCUAGUAGAAGAUUGGAAUCUUGAUGGUCCCAUUGCCUCCAAUGCCAUCCUCGAGACACCACCGCAAUUGUGUUACUUGGCGAGGGUGGGCAGCGCAAUGUCAGCAACC
Molecule: long non-coding RNA, 19719 nt
Filed under: Coffea arabica (coffee)
Lineage: Eukaryota; Viridiplantae; Streptophyta; Magnoliopsida; Gentianales; Rubiaceae
Description: long non-coding RNA (CARA_LNC000754)
Source: RNAcentral